GAUGAACGCUAGCUACAGGCUUAACACAUGCAAGUCGAGGGGCAGCAUAUCGAAAGCUUGCUUUUGAUGAUGGCGACCGGCGCACGGGUGAGUAACGCGUAUCCAACCUUCCCUAUACUAGAGGAUAGCCCGGCGAAAGUCGGAUUAAUACUCUAUGUUCUUCGUAGAAGACAUCUGAAAUGAAGCAAAGGUUUACCGGUAUAGGAUGGGGAUGCGUCUGAUUAGGUUGUUGGCGGGGUAACGGCCCACCAAGCCCACGAUCAGUAGGGGUUCUGAGAGGAAGGUCCCCCACAUUGGAACUGAGACACGGUCCAAACUCC
This 320-nucleotide ribosomal RNA is filed under the name uncultured Prevotella sp. RNAcentral's name for it is "bacterial SSU rRNA". It matches the Rfam family "Bacterial small subunit ribosomal RNA", at positions 28 to 339 of the family's 1533-position model. Lineage: Bacteria; Pseudomonadati; Bacteroidota; Bacteroidia; Bacteroidales; Prevotellaceae. The record is from RNAcentral.